RNAcentral lists this ribosomal RNA (751 nucleotides) under uncultured marine organism. Its description in RNAcentral is "SSU rRNA". It matches the Rfam family "Bacterial small subunit ribosomal RNA", at positions 94 to 874 of the family's 1533-position model. The record is from RNAcentral.
AGUGGAGGACGGGUGAGUAACACGUAAGAAUUUACCUUUAGGAGGGGGACAACAACUGGAAACGGUUGCUAAUACCCCAUAUGCUUUCGAGUGAAAUGGAUUUUCCGCCUAGAGAGAAGCUUGCGGCUGAUUAGCUUGUUGGUAAGGUAAUGGCUUACCAAGGCGACGAUCAGUAUCUGGUUUGAGAGGAUGAUCAGACACACUGGAACUGAGACACGGUCCAGACUCCUACGGGAGGCAGCAGUAGGGAAUUUUCCGCAAUGGGCGAAAGCCUGACGGAGCAAUACCACGUGAGGGAUGACUGCCUAUGGGUUGUAAACCUCUUUUUUCAGGGAGGAACAUAAUGACGUGUACCUGAAGAAUAAGCAUCGGCUAACUCCGUGCCAGCAGCCGCGGUAAGACGGAGGAUGCAAGUGUUAUCCGGAAUCACUGGGCGUAAAGCGUCUGUAGGUGGUCAAAUAAGUCAACUGUUAAAUCUUGAGGCUCAACCUCAAAACCGCAGUCGAAACUAUUAGACUAGAGUAUAGUAGGGGUAAAGGGAAUUUCCAGUGGAGCGGUGAAAUGCGUAGAGAUUGGAAAGAACACCAAUGGCGAAGGCACUUUACUGGGCUAUUACUAACACUCAGAGACGAAAGCUAGGGUAGCAAAUGGGAUUAGAUACCCCAGUAGUCCUAGCUGUAAACAAUGGAUACUAGAUGUUGAACAGAUCGAACUGUGCGGUAUCAAAGCUAACGCGUUAAGUAUCCCGCCU